RNAcentral lists this transfer RNA (29 nucleotides) under Erythrospermum zeylanicum. RNAcentral describes it as "partial tRNA-Asn". Lineage: Eukaryota; Viridiplantae; Streptophyta; Magnoliopsida; Malpighiales; Achariaceae. The record is from RNAcentral.
GGUCGUAGGUUCGAAUCCUACUUGGGGAG